GAUGAAGAACGCAGCGAAAUGCGAUAAGUAGUGUGAAUUGCAGAAUUCAGUGAAUCAUCGAAUCUUUGAACGCACAUUGCGCCCCUUGGUAUCCCGAGGGGCAUGCCUGUUCGAGCGUCAUUUCACUACUCAAGCCUGGCUUGGUGUUGGGCGACGUCCUCUUUGGGGACGCGCCUCGAAACGCUCGGCGGCGUGGCACCGGCUUUAAGCGUAGCAGAAUCUUUCGCUUUGGAAGUCGGGGCCCCGUCUGCCGGAAGACCUGCUCGCAAGGUUGACCUCGGAUCAGGCAGGGAUACCCGCUGAACUUAAGCAUAUCAAUAAGCGGAGGA
Molecule: unclassified non-coding RNA, 329 nt
Filed under: soil metagenome
Description: partial contains 5.8S ribosomal RNA, internal transcribed spacer 2, and large subunit ribosomal RNA
Rfam family: 5.8S ribosomal RNA (bases 1-120)
Source: RNAcentral